CAGAGCGGGUGAUCGCGGUAUAUGCCAAUUUGGCAUAUAAUGAGGAAAGUCCGGGCUACACAGGACAGAAUGCCAGAUAACAUCUGGUAGAGGCAACUCUCAGGCAAGUGCAACAGAAAGCAAACCGCCUAUUUACAUAGGUAAGGGUGAAACGGUGAGGUAAGAGCUCACCAGCAGUAUAGUAAUAUGCUGGCUAUGUAAACCCCAUUCGUAGCAAGACCUAACAGAAACGGAGUUUAUCUCCAUCGGCUGUCCGUCGAAUGUUUCGGGUAUGGUCGCUAAAGCCGAGAAGCGAUUUUCGGAUUAGAUAAAUGAUCACCAUCUAAUUUUCAAAAUUAGAUACAGAACCCGGCUUAUAGCUCUGC
Molecule: RNase P RNA, 365 nt
Filed under: bovine gut metagenome
Description: Bacterial RNase P class A
Rfam family: Bacterial RNase P class A
About the family: Ribonuclease P (RNase P) is a ubiquitous endoribonuclease, found in archaea, bacteria and eukarya as well as chloroplasts and mitochondria. Its best characterised activity is the generation of mature 5'-ends of tRNAs by cleaving the 5'-leader elements of precursor-tRNAs.
Source: RNAcentral